GCUGACAAUGAUGUAAAUGUAUAAUAAUUAGCAAAGAUGAUUAAUUUAGCGCUGUAAAUGCUCGUGUGCUGGCAGGAGACGCGCUGCGAGGACCAAACACAGCAGAACGGUAUGAAACUUCACUCCUUUCAUUAUUUCUCUUUUACUAUAGCGAUUUAUUUUUAGAUACGUGAUCUGAGUCUUUCAUAUAGCUGUAGAUUUAAUAGAGAAAUAGUUAUUUUUUACAUUCUUUGGUAAAGUUUUCAGCUCGGGACCUCGGAGCCUGUUUGCGACUCGGUUGAUUUAGAUCGGCACUUCGGAGCCUGUUCGCGACUCAGUUGAUUCAGAUCGGCACUUCGGAGCAUGUUCGCGACUCGUGUGAGGGGCGGAGACGGCGUGAGGACCAAACACAGCAGAACGUUUUCAGAUCGGGACUUCGGAGCCUGUUCGCGACUAGGUUGAUGGGUUUAUUCAGAUCGGCACUUCGGAGCCUGUUCCACCUCGGUUGAUUCAGAUCGGCAAUUCGGAGCAUAUUCGCGACUAGGUAAAUCUUUAUCCUUUUUUUUUUAUAAGAAAUUGUAUUCUUUAUUAGAUUUUAGAAUCUUUUAUUCAGGAUGUGUUAAAUUGAUAAGAAGUGAAAUCAAAGAUUAAUAUUAUUAGAAGAGAUUCAUAUUUGGAAUAAACGCUGUUCUUUAAAAAAAAUUAUACAUGGAAGAAUCCUGAAAAAAGUAUCGUAGAUUCCAAAAUAAUAUUUGAUUCAGAUCGGCAUUUCGGAGCAUGUU
Carassius gibelio (silver crucian carp) is the source of this 761-nucleotide long non-coding RNA. RefSeq lists it as uncharacterized. The transcript has 3 exons. Lineage: Eukaryota; Metazoa; Chordata; Actinopteri; Cypriniformes; Cyprinidae. The record is from RefSeq and is a predicted model, not a curated record.